This 497-nucleotide ribosomal RNA is filed under the name uncultured bacterium. RNAcentral's name for it is "partial 16S ribosomal RNA". It matches the Rfam family "Bacterial small subunit ribosomal RNA", at positions 28 to 507 of the family's 1533-position model. The record is from RNAcentral.
GAUGAACGCUGGCGGCGUGCCUAAUACAUGCAAGUCGAGCGAACGGACGAGAAGCUUGCUUCUCUGAUGUUAGCGGCGGACGGGUGAGUAACACGUGGAUAACCUACCUAUAAGACUGGGAUAACUUCGGGAAACCGUAGCUAAUACCGGAUAAUAUUUUGAACCGCAUGGUUCAAAAGUGAAAGACGGUCUUGCUGUCACUUAUAGAUGGAUCCGCGCUGCAUUAGCUAGUUGGUAAGGUAACGGCUUACCAAGGCAACGAUGCAUAGCCGACCUGAGAGGGUGAUCGGCCACACUGGAACUGAGACACGGUCCAGGCGCCUACGGGAGGCAGCAGUAGGGAAUCUUCCGCAAUGGGCGAAAGCCUGACGGAGCAACGCCGCGUGAGUGAUGAAGGUCUUCGGAUCGUAAAACUCUGUUAUUAGGGAAGAACAUAUGUGUAAGUAACUGUGCACAUCUUGACGGUACCUAAUCAGAAAGCCACGGCUAACUACGUG